AACGGGGGUGCCUCAGGCUGAGAUGCAAUUACUGCAAACCCUUAUAACCUGACAUGGAUCAUACCAGCGUAGGGAGUUU
RNAcentral lists this non-coding RNA (79 nucleotides) under bovine gut metagenome. Its description in RNAcentral is "TPP riboswitch (THI element)". It matches the Rfam family "TPP riboswitch aptamer (THI element)", at positions 8 to 91 of the family's 105-position model. Rfam says of the family: Vitamin B(1) in its active form thiamin pyrophosphate (TPP) is an essential coenzyme that is synthesised by coupling of pyrimidine and thiazole moieties in bacteria. The previously detected thiamin-regulatory element, thi box was extended, resulting in a new, highly conserved RNA secondary structure, the THI element, which is widely distributed in eubacteria and also occurs in some archaea. Analysis of operon structures identified a large number of new candidate thiamin-regulated genes, mostly transporters, in various prokaryotic organisms. The record is from RNAcentral.